This 253-nucleotide ribosomal RNA is filed under the name uncultured bacterium. RNAcentral describes it as "partial 16S ribosomal RNA". It matches the Rfam family "Bacterial small subunit ribosomal RNA", at positions 524 to 776 of the family's 1533-position model. The record is from RNAcentral.
UACGUAGGGAGCAAGCGUUAUCCGGAUUUAUUGGGUGUAAAGGGUGCGUAGACGGAGAAGCAAGUUAGUUGUGAAAUCCCUCGGCUUAACUGAGGAACUGCAACUAAAACUACUUCCCUUGAGUACUGGAGAGGAAAGUGGAGUUCCUAGUGUAGCGGUGAAAUGCGUAGAUAUUAGGAGGAACACCAGUGGCGAAGGCGACUUUCUGGACAGUAACUGACGUUGAGGCACGAAAGUGUGGGGAGCAAACAGG